GUGAACGGGUUGUUCCACAUGAAGGUGUUCAUAGCUGGGGCAACAAAGAGUGGUUUGCUGUAGUCCCAUGCUCUCACUAUGCAUGUCAAGAGGUUGUCACAUAAACCACCAGCAAUCUGAACAAAACUAAUCCAGUGUCACUUUUUUGUAGGCAGCGAAAACAAGUUGACAUUAAAAUCACAUACCUUAGCUAGGGUAUUAGCUGAUAAUGGCGCAAUCACCAUGAUAUCUGCCCAUUUUCGCAGUUCAAUGUGCAAAACUUCAUCCCCUAUCUUCUUCCAGGUAGACCAUUCAUCAUCAUCAGUGUAAAGAAUAAUAUUGCUAGGCAGAGACGUUCUAUCAAUAAAAUGUAAUGAAGCCUUGGUGGCGACGGCUCUGACUUCUGCCCAUUCCGAGAAGCUACGGCAAAGGCUCUCAAAUUUUAUAGCAGCGACGCUUCCAGAGGCAGCAAGGAGGACCCGAGG
Molecule: small RNA, 464 nt
Filed under: Oryza sativa Japonica Group (Japanese rice)
Lineage: Eukaryota; Viridiplantae; Streptophyta; Magnoliopsida; Poales; Poaceae
Description: sRNA Os06g0199601
Source: RNAcentral